RNAcentral lists this long non-coding RNA (307 nucleotides) under Helianthus annuus (common sunflower). RNAcentral's name for it is "sRNA HanXRQr2_Chr17g0825641". The record is from RNAcentral. Lineage: Eukaryota; Viridiplantae; Streptophyta; Magnoliopsida; Asterales; Asteraceae.
UUCUACUUCUCCACUCCUCCUCACUAGCUACUGCCGAGAACAUCCCCUCACACCCCACCACCUUUCGAUUUUCCCUCACCAAAUCCAAGCCUCUCACAAGGUGAUUCAAGGUGGUUUAGAAGGUGUGGAGCACUCGGAACCCGAAGGACCUCUCUUGUUUGCCAUUAACCACCCACAUUUACGUCUAGUUUCUUCCCUAGCCUCGAGCUAGUAUAUGGGAAUGGAUCGUCAUCGAACCACGCUAGAGCAUGUCGUUGCACAGCUUCGGAUAUUCGGAUUACUUGGUAGAGAUACGCAUUCACUGUGA